Molecule: long non-coding RNA, 237 nt
Filed under: Paramuricea clavata
Lineage: Eukaryota; Metazoa; Cnidaria; Anthozoa; Malacalcyonacea; Plexauridae
Source: RNAcentral
AGCUCAUAUGAGGCGUAAAAAAAAUACCUGUGGUUCCGGUUCCCGACCGACCCUAUUUUUUUCUGCCGACCCUAUUAUUUUUUCAACACGAUUGACCGUGCGACCCUAUUUUCUCCAGGUGGUUGCGGGCUGCUCAUACAGCGUGCCAAAAUGGCAUCUGUUGUCACAAUAAUUAUUGAACCAAAUUGUCUCAAUUCGUCCGUAGGAAAUACGCACCUCUAGUUAAUAUUGAUGUCG